Molecule: ribosomal RNA, 372 nt
Filed under: uncultured organism
Description: partial 16S ribosomal RNA
Rfam family: Bacterial small subunit ribosomal RNA
Source: RNAcentral
GUAGGUGGCAAGCGUUGUCCGGAUUUACUGGGGCGUAAAGGGCGUGUAGGCGGUACGUUAAGUCCGGUGUGAAAUCUCCCGGCUCAACUGGGAUAGGUCAUCGGAUACUGGCGCACUAGAGGGGGGCAAAGGAAGGCGGAAUUCCCGGUGUAGCGGUGGAAUGCGUAGAUAUCGGGGGGAACACCAGUGGCGAAGGCGGCCUUCUGGGCCCACCCUGACGCUGAGGCGCGAAAGCGUGGGGAGCAAACCGGAUUAGAUACCCGGGUAGUCCACGCCCUAAACGUUGGAUGCUAGGUGUGGGGGGUGUCGACCCCCUCUGUGCCGUAGCUAACGCUUUAAGCAUCCCGCCUGGGGAGUACGGCCGCAAGGCUA